This 253-nucleotide ribosomal RNA is filed under the name uncultured bacterium. RNAcentral's name for it is "partial 16S ribosomal RNA". It matches the Rfam family "Bacterial small subunit ribosomal RNA", at positions 524 to 776 of the family's 1533-position model. The record is from RNAcentral.
UACGUAGGUGACAAGCGUUGUCCGGAUUUACUGGGCGUAAAGAGCGCGCAGGCGGUCGAUCAAGUCGAGUGUGAAAGCCCCCGGCUCAACUGGGGAGGGUCAUUCGAAACUGGUCGACUCGAAGGCAGGAGAGGGUAGUGGAAUUCCCGGUGUAGUGGUGAAAUGCGUAGAUAUCGGGAGGAACACCAGUGGCGAAGGCGACUUCCUGGCCUGUUCUUGACGCUGAGGCGCGAAAGCUAGGGGAGCAAACGGG